RNAcentral lists this ribosomal RNA (909 nucleotides) under Sarcocystis miescheriana. RNAcentral's name for it is "SSU rRNA". It matches the Rfam family "Eukaryotic small subunit ribosomal RNA", at positions 245 to 1099 of the family's 1831-position model. Lineage: Eukaryota; Apicomplexa; Conoidasida; Eucoccidiorida; Sarcocystidae. The record is from RNAcentral.
GGUGAUUCAUAGUAACCGAACGGAUCGCAUUAUAAUUAUCAUUAUUUGAUGAUUGGCGAUAGAUCAUUCAAGUUUCUGACCUAUCAGCUUUCGACGGUAGUGUAUUGGACUACCGUGGCAGUGACGGGUAACGGGGAAUUAGGGUUCGAUUCCGGAGAGGGAGCCUGAGAAACGGCUACCACAUCUAAGGAAGGCAGCAGGCGCGCAAAUUACCCAAUCCUGACUCAGGGAGGUAGUGACAAGAAAUAACAACACUGGAAAUUUGAUUUCUAGUGAUUGGAAUGAUGGGAAUCCAAACCCCUUUCAGAGUAACAAUUGGAGGGCAAGUCUGGUGCCAGCAGCCGCGGUAAUUCCAGCUCCAAUAGCGUAUAUUAAAGUUGUUGCAGUUAAAAAGCUCGUAGUUGGAUGUCUGUUGGAAGCAAUCAUCAGUCCGCCCUAUUUGAUUAGGGUGUGAAUAUGAUGAAUUCCGGCAUAAUUGUCUCCCUAUUGUUAAUAUUCUGAUUGUUAGAUUCAUUUCUAACAAUAAUACGAUUAUUAAUAAUAAGGGGGAAAUGUUACUUUGAGAAAAUUAGAGUGUUUGAAGCAGGCUUUUGUUGCCUUGAAUACUGCAGCAUGGAAUAACAAUAUAGGAUUUCGGUUCUAUUUUGUUGGUUCUUUUUUUAGGACUGAAAUAAUGAUUAAUAGGGACAGUUGGGGGCAUUCGUAUUUAACUGUCAGAGGUGAAAUUCUUAGACUUGUUAAAGACGAACUACUGGGAAAGCAUUUGCCAAAGAUGUUUUCAUUAAUCAAGAACGAAAGUUAGGGGCUCGAAGACGAUCAGAUACCGUCGUAGUCUUAACCAUAAACUAUGCCGACUAGAGAUAGGAAAUUGUCAUUUUACUUGACUUCUCCUGCACCUUAUGAGAAAUC